Schistosoma margrebowiei is the source of this 46-nucleotide non-coding RNA. The record is from Rfam. NCBI's taxonomy places the organism in Eukaryota, Metazoa, Platyhelminthes, Trematoda, Strigeidida, Schistosomatidae.
GCACUGGUGAGGAGUCCCACAAUAGGACGAAACGGCCGUUCAGUGC